UUACUGCUAUCGGUGUUCGCCUAAGCCAUGCGAGUCAUAUGUUCUUCGUGAACAUGGCGUACUGCUCAGUAACACGUGGAUAACCUGCCCUUGGGACCGGGAUAACCCCGGGAAACUGGGGAUAAUACCGGAUAACGCAUAUCUGCUGGAAUGCUUUAUGCGUAAAAUGGAUUUGUCUGCCCAAGGAUGGGUCUGCGGCCUAUCAGGUAGUAGUGGGUGUAAUGUACCUACUAGCCUACGACGGGUACGGGUUGUGAGAGCAAGAGCCCGGAGAUGGAUUCUGAGACAUGAAUCCAGGCCCUACGGGGCGCAGCAGGCGCGAAAACUUUACAAUGCGGGAAACCGUGAUAAGGGGACACCGAGUGCCAGCAUCAUAUGUUGGCUGUCCAGAUGUGUAAAAUACAUCUGUUAGCAAGGGCCGGGCAAGACCGGUGCCAGCCGCCGCGGUAACACCGGCGGCCCGAGUGGUGAUCGUGAUUAUUGGGUCUAAAGGGUCCGUAGCCGGUUUGGUCAGU
This 515-nucleotide ribosomal RNA is filed under the name uncultured euryarchaeote. RNAcentral's name for it is "bacterial SSU rRNA". It matches the Rfam family "Archaeal small subunit ribosomal RNA", at positions 24 to 538 of the family's 1478-position model. The record is from RNAcentral. Lineage: Archaea; Methanobacteriati; Methanobacteriota.